CUCGUCGUCACUGUCACUGCAAUUGCCACAGCACUCCUGUAGGGGGCGAUAGAGGAGGACAGCAAGUAAGACAACAUGGCAGCGUUAAGUGUCAGAUAUCACUUAGCUCCUGUUAUAGGGAAACAUUUUGGAGGGAAUGGAGACGCUGCCUGUGGACACUUUGCUAUAGAAGGACUCGUCUUUGGGCUCAAGUUCCACGCCUUUAACGGUGGAGAACUGUUCGAUGUCCAGAACGUCUUUACAGUAGAUGGCCUGUGGCUGCAACAUGGAACACGACAGCGUCACGACAUCUGAUAUCUGGGAUUUUGCCAUCACGGCACACGUACUACCAGAGUGACUUGGCCUCCUCUGAGAACUUUCCGGAGUAUUCUUCCUGCACCUCCUUGACCAGCCGCUCGACCUCCUCCCGCUUGAUCUUCUUCUUCCUCUGCUGAAAGGGCGACUGGCCCUCAAUCAUCUCAUACAGCAGGC
Molecule: long non-coding RNA, 471 nt
Organism: Syngnathoides biaculeatus (alligator pipefish)
Lineage: Eukaryota; Metazoa; Chordata; Actinopteri; Syngnathiformes; Syngnathidae
Exons: 3
Source: RefSeq, a predicted model, not a curated record